RNAcentral lists this ribosomal RNA (250 nucleotides) under uncultured bacterium. RNAcentral's name for it is "partial 16S ribosomal RNA". It matches the Rfam family "Bacterial small subunit ribosomal RNA", at positions 355 to 600 of the family's 1533-position model. The record is from RNAcentral.
UCGAGAAUCUUCGGCAAUGGGCGAAAGCCUGACCGAGCGACGCCGCGUGCGGGACGAAGGCCUUCGGGUUGUAAACCGCUGUCGGGAGGGAUGAAGUGCACGGGGGCUAUCCCCUGUGUUUGACAGAGCUCCGGAGGAAGCACGGGCUAAGUUCGUGCCAGCAGCCGCGGUAAUACGAACUGUGCGAACGUUAUUCGGAAUCACUGGGCUUAAAGGGUGCGUAGGCGGCGCUGUAAGUCAGGUGUGAAAU